This 265-nucleotide ribosomal RNA is filed under the name uncultured archaeon. RNAcentral's name for it is "partial 16S ribosomal RNA". It matches the Rfam family "Archaeal small subunit ribosomal RNA", at positions 717 to 982 of the family's 1478-position model. The record is from RNAcentral.
AGACGUCUACAUUAGAUACCCCGGUAGUCCUGGCCGUAAACGAUGUGGACUUGGUGUUGGGAUGGCUCCGAGCUGCCCCAGUGCCGAAGGGAAGCUGUUAAGUCCACCGCCUGGGAAGUACGGUCGCAAGGCUGAAACUUAAAGAAAUUGGCGGGGGAGCACCACAAGAGGUGGAGGCUGCGGUUCAAUUGGACUCAACGCCGGAAAACUCAUCGGGAGCGACAGCAGUAUGAUUGCCAGGUUGAUGACCUUGCUUGACAAGCUG